This is a non-coding RNA of Picea glauca (white spruce), 115 nucleotides long. NCBI's taxonomy places the organism in Eukaryota, Viridiplantae, Streptophyta, Pinopsida, Pinales, Pinaceae. The record is from Rfam.
CCUAUAAAAUAACGUUAAUGCAUCAUAUCCCAUUAGAACUCUGCAGUUAAGCGAUCUUGGGUUAGAGUAGUACUGGCAUGGGUGACCGCGUGAGAAGUCCUAGUGUUUUACAUGC